UACGGAGGGGGGCUAGCGUUUGUUCGGAAUUACUGGGCGUAAAGCGCACGUAGGCGGCUUUGUAAGUUAGGGGUGAAAGCCUGGGGCUCAACUCCAGAAUUGCCUUUAAGACUGCAUCGCUUGAAUCGCGGAGAGGUGAGUGGAAUUCCGAGUGUAGAGGUGAAAUUCGUAGAUAUUCGGAAGAACACCAGUGGCGAAGGCGGCUCACUGGACGCGUAUUGACGCUGAGGUGCGAAAGCGUGGGGAGCAAAGCAGG
This 256-nucleotide ribosomal RNA is filed under the name uncultured bacterium. RNAcentral's name for it is "partial 16S ribosomal RNA". It matches the Rfam family "Bacterial small subunit ribosomal RNA", at positions 524 to 777 of the family's 1533-position model. The record is from RNAcentral.